AUACUUACCUGGCAGGGGAGACACCAUGAUCAAGAAGGUGGUUCACCCAGGGUGAGGCUCGGCCAUUGCGAAUUCACCAAAUUUGGGAAUCUCGACUGCAUAAUUUAUGGUAGUGGGGGACUGUCUUCGCGCUCUCCCCUG
RNAcentral lists this small nuclear RNA (141 nucleotides) under Sinocyclocheilus grahami. Its description in RNAcentral is "U1 spliceosomal RNA (ENSSGRG00000008741.1)". It matches the Rfam family "U1 spliceosomal RNA". From Rfam's summary of the family: U1 is a small nuclear RNA (snRNA) component of the spliceosome (involved in pre-mRNA splicing). Its 5' end forms complementary base pairs with the 5' splice junction, thus defining the 5' donor site of an intron. There are significant differences in sequence and secondary structure between metazoan and yeast U1 snRNAs, the latter being much longer (568 nucleotides as compared to 164 nucleotides in human). The record is from Rfam by way of RNAcentral. Lineage: Eukaryota; Metazoa; Chordata; Actinopteri; Cypriniformes; Cyprinidae.